GUGAACGCUGGCGGUAGGCCUAACACCUGCAAGUCGAACGGCAGCACAGUAAGAGCUUGCUCUUACGGGUGGCGAGUGGCGGACGGGUGAGGAAUACAUCGGAAUCUACUUUUUCGUGGGGGAUAUCGUAGGGAAACUUACGCUAAUACCGCAUACGACCUACGGGUGAAAGCAGGGGAUCUUCGGACCUUGCGCGAUUGCAUGAGCCGAUGUCGGAUUAGCUAGUUGGCGAGGUAAAGGCCCACCAAGGCGACGAUCCGUAGCUGGUCUGAGAGGAUGAUCGGCCACACUGGAACUGAGACACGGUCCAGACUCCUACGGGAGGCAGCAGUGGGGAAUAUUGGACAAUGGGCGCAAGCCUGAUCCAGCCAUACCGCGUGAGUGAAGAAGGCCUUCGGGUUGUAAAGCCCUUUUGUUGGGAAAGAAAAGCAGCAGGUUAAUACCCCGCUGUUCUGACGGUACCCAAAGAAUAAGCACCGGCUAACUUCGUG
This 491-nucleotide ribosomal RNA is filed under the name uncultured bacterium. RNAcentral describes it as "partial 16S ribosomal RNA". It matches the Rfam family "Bacterial small subunit ribosomal RNA", at positions 29 to 507 of the family's 1533-position model. The record is from RNAcentral.